RNAcentral lists this long non-coding RNA (339 nucleotides) under Manihot esculenta (cassava). RNAcentral's name for it is "long non-coding RNA (MESC_LNC012118)". Lineage: Eukaryota; Viridiplantae; Streptophyta; Magnoliopsida; Malpighiales; Euphorbiaceae. The record is from RNAcentral.
UUUGCAUUAGAAUUCACGACUAUGCCGCAUUGUAUUGUUGUGAUAGAUGAUACUGGAUGGACAUUAGGAUGAUUCAUUAGCCUUCUAUAUACGAAGACCUGUGGUGCCCAUAAUAGGGCCGGGCAAUACGAAGACCUGUGGUGCCCAUAAUAGGGCCGGGCAAUAACUCCGAGUACGAAGUCCUGUGGUGCCCAUAAUAGGGCCGGGCAAUACGAAGUCCUGUGGUGCCCAUAAUAGGGCCGGGCAUGGAGUUGAGGGAUUUUUGAAUCAGUCCAUCCGUGGUGUGAUUUGUUUGUGCAGUGACGCAUUUCAUGAUAGCAUGUUUUAAAUAUUCUCUUU